AUACUAUGCUUCUAACUAAUGUUAUAAAAAUCUAACACUACUAAAAGCAGAAUACGGUGAGCGGAGAGAGCAUCCACGUCAUCUAAUUUAAUUGACCAAUAGAAAACUGUUAUGCGGCCACGUCAAUAAUUUCCCAAGGCCGGACACAGUUAUUUCCCAGUUAUCUGAUUCAGUGUGGCCCACUUUCAUACAAACCCCAUCACUUGGCCCAACUACUACGAUAGGGAUCACCGACUCUCCACUUCACCUUCUUCAGUGUAGUCUCUGCAAAUCACCGUUAAGUUGAAACUAAGUCUUCCCACUCUUUCACAUUUAAUAAGCUUCAUUACUUUAAAAAAAAAUUGUUUCUUCCGUUGAUAUUAUUUGGGCUUUUAUGAUUUUCAUUGGGUAACAACCGCCAUGACCAGAUACGCCGGAAGCUUCGAUCACCGGCAAGGACAAAGUCAUAUCAAACACAGGACAACUAUCAAGUUUUCAACUUGAACAAACUAUACCUAAAUGGCGGAGGCUGAGAGCUUUGUCCCUUUUCAGUGCAUAAGGAAUGAUGUCAUUUGGAGACUCAAAUCCUACAAGCAUGAUUGGAUCAGUGGUUUCAGAGCUGAAUUUAGAUGCUAGGAAAGCUAUGGACGAUGUUGGGAUCUGAUUCUGAAGAUCAGG
Long non-coding RNA from Brassica napus (rape), 657 nucleotides. RefSeq lists it as uncharacterized. NCBI's taxonomy places the organism in Eukaryota, Viridiplantae, Streptophyta, Magnoliopsida, Brassicales, Brassicaceae. The record is from RefSeq and is a predicted model, not a curated record. The transcript is spliced from 3 exons.